This is a transfer RNA of Camelus ferus (Wild Bactrian camel), 73 nucleotides long. It matches the Rfam family "tRNA". Rfam says of the family: Transfer RNA (tRNA) molecules are approximately 80 nucleotides in length. The record is from Rfam. Lineage: Eukaryota; Metazoa; Chordata; Mammalia; Artiodactyla; Camelidae.
GAGGGUAUAGCUCAAGUGAUAGAGUGCAUGCUUAGCAUGCAUGAGGUCCUGGGUUCAAUCCCCAGUACCUCCU